Molecule: non-coding RNA, 934 nt
Organism: Chlorocebus sabaeus (green monkey)
Lineage: Eukaryota; Metazoa; Chordata; Mammalia; Primates; Cercopithecidae
Source: RefSeq, a predicted model, not a curated record
ACUGCUUUCUGGCCCCGAGUUUGAGAAGAGGGGGAGUUCAACAGAGUCUGGCUGGAGAGAAGGGCAAGGGGCUGGGGAGCCGGGGAUCCCAGGGGUUUGUGGGGACAAACCAGCCCCCCUCUCCUCCUGGGGCUUUUAGCUCUGAUGGGACAUGGAUCCAACCUUUCCUGAGGACCUACUCCACACCAGGCCCUCUGCAGUGCCCUCUGAAUACUCACAGCUACAUUGUGAGGAUGUAAUUACAUCCCCAUUUUACAGAUGAGGAAACUGAGGCCCCGAGUGCAUCUUCCUCAAGACCACAUGGUGAAUGGUGAGUGGCAGAGCCUGCGCACCUCUGCCGACUCCCGUGGGUGCAGGAGAGGUGGUCAGACCUACCCUUUCAAUUGUACCACACUGCCCAGGUUGAGAAGAGCUUUCAGUUCAGUAACAGUCCCUACCAGCCUGGAAAACAGACCAGCCUCUGUCCCUCCACGGAGAUGACCCACUCCCAUCUUGCUUGUACCUGGCUUCAGGGAUCCUGGGGAGAGACAGGAGGUUAAAAAAGGUGAGACUAACAGUGGGGUCCCUGGACUGCCUGCUGUGGCACUCCCCUGCAAGGGCACCUGGUAGGGAGGACCUAACACUCUCCGCUACACACACGCCACCACACCCGACACCACCCCAAGCCAAACAAGGCCCUAGGAGGGGGCUGCCAGGCCUGGCAGAGGAGAGACCCACCCCUGCAGUUCUGCCCACUGCAGCCAGAUGCGCUCGAGCCCAGGGGAGGCACAGCCAUAGCACCUCCCAGUGGCGCCUGCGGGAAGAGCAGGAAGAGGAGCGGGGCCCCGGCAAGGGGAAAAAGCCCACUCCUCCAUCCCUGACGCCGCAGACCUCUGGUUGUGUUCUGAAUUCACCAAACUCCUUGGCCUCCAAAUCGUGUCCUCCUUAGCUGACU